Molecule: non-coding RNA, 76 nt
Organism: Podarcis lilfordi (Lilford's wall lizard)
Lineage: Eukaryota; Metazoa; Chordata; Lepidosauria; Squamata; Lacertidae
Source: the annotation of a GenBank genome assembly
GCCCUGUGGAUAACUCAGUUGAUAGAAUAUGAGACUGAUAAUCUUAGGGUUGUGGGUCUGAGCUCCACAUUGGGCA